UGCCUUAUUGAGAUACAAAGGAUGAAUCUAU
Molecule: non-coding RNA, 31 nt
Filed under: Mus musculus (house mouse)
Lineage: Eukaryota; Metazoa; Chordata; Mammalia; Rodentia; Muridae
Source: RNAcentral